AUCCCUUGGUUCAUGAGCAUGAUGAUUCACCCAAUCACACCUUAGGCACGAGAUGUGCCUCCCUCAAACCUUGUUACAACAUGGGCACAUUACCCAUCUGACG
This is a small nucleolar RNA of Octodon degus (degu), 103 nucleotides long. RefSeq annotates it as small nucleolar RNA U13. The transcript has a single exon. The record is from RefSeq and is a predicted model, not a curated record. NCBI's taxonomy places the organism in Eukaryota, Metazoa, Chordata, Mammalia, Rodentia, Octodontidae.